UCUCAGAUGUGGCAGCAAUAAUGACCCAUUACAAGCUGAUGUGGGUCAUGCUUGGAAAUCUCCGGAGGGCUGUGGAUGGAUUGAGACAACUCUGCUAUGCUGAACAACACGUGCGGGAGAAUUAGAUUGUUCUGUGAACUGAGCUUCAGCAUUUUCCACAGGCAAAUCAAAAACCUUAUAUCUGAAAAUAUAAGUACAAGUGUCAAAUAAUUUAGAUCCACAACAAAGCGAUCAGGCAAACAGACAUCUUUUAAUUCUUCUUCACUUUCCUCUCCCCUCUCUGUCCAGACUAAGAAAUCUCCUCAAAGCUGAAAUCCUGGCUGAUAAGUGGAUCAGGACUGGCAGAUGUCUCUCAACCACUCAUCUUUUGCUCACAGAAGUCAGCAAAGCCCUUCUUUCAUUCACCUCUCUGCUUUAUGGCCCUUGGUCGCUGGAGCUGCUGCAGGACUGCAGGAGGGUGGUUGCACUGAGAUGCAAUCACGGACUCUAGGCACAUGUCUGACUGAAUGUGAUGCUUGAAAGAGCAUCAGAAACCUGGAGACAACUUUAUCUCAGUGGCAGUGAAGUGCGUGAGAAAAUUAAUGAGAACAAUCUAUUACUGGAAACAGUCUUUUCAACAAAGCUGAAGUUAUUCAAGCAUAUUGCUGCAUUAAGGACAGUCCCCAGAGAGAGACAGCUCUGGAGCAGCAGAAGCAAUCCAUGA
Molecule: long non-coding RNA, 703 nt
Filed under: Coturnix japonica (Japanese quail)
Lineage: Eukaryota; Metazoa; Chordata; Aves; Galliformes; Phasianidae
Description: lncRNA (ENSCJPG00005008068.1)
Source: RNAcentral